RNAcentral lists this unclassified non-coding RNA (221 nucleotides) under Hevea brasiliensis (rubber tree). Lineage: Eukaryota; Viridiplantae; Streptophyta; Magnoliopsida; Malpighiales; Euphorbiaceae. The record is from RNAcentral.
AGAGGCUCUAAGAAUAAAUGAUUGUAUGUUAUCUUUAUCCUUCUUAAAAGAUGAACUGAAAAGAGUUCUAAUUCAGAUCAACUUAAGGCAUUUCUUUGUUGAAUGCACUUGGAUUAGCAUUUUUUUCCUAUCACCGACAUAGAUAUAACCUUUUAGAAGUGAUAGGGUAAAUUAAACAAAAAGGAGUUUUCUAGGGAAAAUAUGUAAAUACCCAAAGUACA